This 468-nucleotide ribosomal RNA is filed under the name uncultured bacterium. RNAcentral describes it as "partial 16S ribosomal RNA". It matches the Rfam family "Bacterial small subunit ribosomal RNA", at positions 28 to 507 of the family's 1533-position model. The record is from RNAcentral.
GACGAACGCUGGCGGCGUGCUUAACACAUGCAAGUCGAACGGAAAGGCCCUGCUUUUGUGGGGUGCUCGAGUGGCGAACGGGUGAGUAACCCGUGAGUAACCUGCCCUUGACUUUGGGAUAACUUCAGGACACUGGGGCUAAUCCCGGAUAGGAGCUCCUGCUGCAUGGUGGGGGUUGGAAAGUUUCGGCGGUUGGGGAUGGACUCGCGGCUUAUCAGCUUGUUGGUGGGGUAGUGGCUUACCAAGGCUUUGACGGGUAGCCGGCCUGAGAGGGUGACCGGCCACAUUGGGACUGAGAUACGGCCCAGACUCCUACGGGAGGCAGCAGUGGGGAAUAUUACACAAUGGGCGGAAGCCUGAUGCAGCACCGCCGCGUGCGGGAUGACGGCCUUCGGGUUGUAAACCGCUUUCGCCUGUGACGAAGCGUGAGUGACGGUAAUGGGUAAAGAAGCACCGGCUAACUACGUG